Molecule: ribosomal RNA, 301 nt
Filed under: uncultured bacterium
Lineage: Bacteria
Description: partial 16S ribosomal RNA
Rfam family: Bacterial small subunit ribosomal RNA
Source: RNAcentral
CAGCCGCCACGGGAACACGAAGGGUGCAAGCGUUACUCGGAAUUACUGGGCGUAAAGCGUGCGUAGGUGGUGGUUUAAGUCCGUUGUGAAAGCCCUGGGCUCAACCUGGGAAUUGCAGUGGAUACUGGGUCACUAGAGUGUGGUAGAGGAUAGUGGAAUUUCCGGUGUAGCAGUGAAAUGCGUAGAGAUCGGAAGGAACAUCUGUGGCGAAGGCGACUAUCUGGGCCAACACUGACACUGAGGCACGAAAGCGUGGGGAGCAAACAGGAUUAGAUACCCGUGUAGUCCCUGUCUCUUAUAC